AUACUGAGAAAAAUUUAACAUUUAAUUAUUUUACAGUAAAUGAAAACUGAAAACGGUAGUAAAGCAGUAAAAAUAAGUAUAAAAAUAAUCAAUAUAAAAAUUAAAAUAAAAAAAAAAAAAAAUCUAAUGUUGCUAAUGGGUACAACACCGGGGGAGUUUAAAGAGUAGAAUAGGGGAUACAUGAGUAAUUUAAUUUAUGUACGCAAC
Molecule: non-coding RNA, 207 nt
Organism: Cinara cedri
Lineage: Eukaryota; Metazoa; Arthropoda; Insecta; Hemiptera; Aphididae
Source: the annotation of a GenBank genome assembly